This 373-nucleotide ribosomal RNA is filed under the name uncultured bacterium. RNAcentral's name for it is "bacterial SSU rRNA". It matches the Rfam family "Bacterial small subunit ribosomal RNA", at positions 524 to 896 of the family's 1533-position model. The record is from RNAcentral.
UACGAAGGGGGCUAGCGUUGCUCGGAAUUACUGGGCGUAAAGGGCGCGUAGGCGGCGCCAGUAGUCAGGCGUGAAAUUCCUGGGCUCAACCUGGGGGCUGCGCUUGAUACGCUGGUGCUAGAGGACGGAAGAGGCUCGCGGAAUUCCCAGUGUAGAGGUGAAAUUCGUAGAUAUUGGGAAGAACACCGGUGGCGAAGGCGGCGAGCUGGUCCGUUACUGACGCUGAGGCGCGACAGCGUGGGGAGCAAACAGGAUUAGAUACCCUGGUAGUCCACGCCGUAAACGAUGUGCGCUGGAUGUUGGGGGCCCUAGGCCCUCAGUGUCGUAGCUAACGCGGUAAGCGCACCGCCUGGGGAGUACGGCCGCAAGGUUG